RNAcentral lists this ribosomal RNA (1223 nucleotides) under Streptomyces sp. PN214. RNAcentral describes it as "bacterial SSU rRNA". It matches the Rfam family "Bacterial small subunit ribosomal RNA", at positions 75 to 1307 of the family's 1533-position model. The record is from RNAcentral. Lineage: Bacteria; Bacillati; Actinomycetota; Actinomycetes; Kitasatosporales; Streptomycetaceae.
ACUGUCGGUGGGGAUUAGUGGCGAACGGGGUGAGUAACACGUGGGCAAUCUGCCCUGCACUCUGGGACAAGCCCUGGAAACGGGGUCUAAUACCGGAUACUGACCUUCACGGGCAUCUGUGAGGGUCGAAAGCUCCGGCGGUGCAGGAUGAGCCCGCGGCCUAUCAGCUUGUUGGUGAGGUAACGGCUCACCAAGGCGACGACGGGUAGCCGGCCUGAGAGGGCGACCGGCCACACUGGGACUGAGACACGGCCCAGACUACUACGGGAGGCAGCAGUGGGGAAUAUUGCACAAUGGGCGAAAGCCUGAUGCAGCGACGCCGCGUGAGGGAUGACGGCCUUCGGGUUGUAAACCUCUUUCAGCAGGGAAGAAGCGAAAGUGACGGUACCUGCAGAAGAAGCGCCGGCUAACUACGUGCCAGCAGCCGCGGUAAUACGUAGGGCGCAAGCGUUGUCCGGAAUUAUUGGGCGUAAAGAGCUCGUAGGCGGCUUGUCACGUCGGUUGUGAAAGCCCGGGGCUUAACCCCGGGUCUGCAGUCGAUACGGGCAGGCUAGAGUUCGGUAGGGGAGAUCGGAAUUCCUGGUGUAGCGGUGAAAUGCGCAGAUAUCAGGAGGAACACCGGUGGCGAAGGCGGAUCUCUGGGCCGAUACUGACGCUGAGGAGCGAAAGCGUGGGGAGCGAACAGGAUUAGAUACCCUGGUAGUCCACGCCGUAAACGGUGGGCACUAGGUGUGGGCAACAUUCCACGUUGUCCGUGCCGCAGCUAACGCAUUAAGUGCCCCGCCUGGGGAGUACGGCCGCAAGGCUAAAACUCAAAGGAAUUGACGGGGGCCCGCACAAGCGGCGGAGCAUGUGGCUUAAUUCGACGCAACGCGAAGAACCUUACCAAGGCUUGACAUACACCGGAAACGUCCAGAGAUGGGCGCCCCCUUGUGGUCGGUGUACAGGUGGUGCAUGGCUGUCGUCAGCUCGUGUCGUGAGAUGUUGGGUUAAGUCCCGCAACGAGCGCAACCCUUGUCCCGUGUUGCCAGCAGGCCCUUGUGGUGCUGGGGACUCACGGGAGACCGCCGGGGUCAACUCGGAGGAAGGUGGGGACGACGUCAAGUCAUCAUGCCCCUUAUGUCUUGGGCUGCACACGUGCUACAAUGGCCGGUACAAUGAGCUGCGAUACCGCAAGGUGGAGCGAAUCUCAAAAAGCCGGUCUCAGUUCGGAUUGGGGUCUG